CCUACGGGAGGCAGCAGUGGGGAAUAUUGGACAAUGGGCGAAAGCCUGAUCCAGCCAUGCCGCGUGUGUGAAGAAGGCCUUCGGGUUGUAAAGCACUUUCAGUGGGGAAGAAAGCCUUGGGGCUAAUACCCUCGAGGAAGGACAUCACCCACAGAAGAAGCACCGGCUAACUCCGUGCCAGCAGCCGCGGUAAUACGGAGGGUGCGAGCGUUAAUCGGAAUUACUGGGCGUAAAGCGCGCGUAGGCGGUCUGAUAAGCCGGUUGUGAAAGCCCCGGGCUCAACCUGGGAACGGCAUCCGGAACUGUCAGGCUAGAGUGCAGGAGAGGAAGGUAGAAUUCCCGGUGUAGCGGUGAAAUGCGUAGAGAUCGGGAGGAAUAACAGUGGCGAAGGCGGUCUUCUGGACUGACACUGACGCUGAGGUGCGAAAGCGUGGGUAGCAAACAGGAUUAGAUACCCGUGUAGUC
This 465-nucleotide ribosomal RNA is filed under the name Vreelandella stevensii. RNAcentral describes it as "partial 16S ribosomal RNA". It matches the Rfam family "Bacterial small subunit ribosomal RNA", at positions 338 to 795 of the family's 1533-position model. Lineage: Bacteria; Pseudomonadati; Pseudomonadota; Gammaproteobacteria; Oceanospirillales; Halomonadaceae. The record is from RNAcentral.